GUACGUAGGGGUUUCUCUGCUUAAUUCAAAAUGCCCUGAUGAAAGUCAAGGCAUUUCAGUGGGAGAAGGACAUGAAAUAUUACAAGAUAUGCUGGAAAGAAAGCUUUUCUUAUCUGAUAGAGGGAUAUCUUUCUUGCUGUAAAUAUAGGACUGGCGAUCAGAAUCAACAGAAAGCUUGAAGUCUGUGAUCCGGAGAUUGCAUCAUGGAAGGAGUUAAAGUGUUGGGACCUUUUCUUCUGCUAUAAUCUUAACACAAAAAGGAGCAUUAAAGUUCUAAAGGGCCUUUUACCUUGUUUUGAAAAAAUCAUUCUUAGAAAACUACUGUCAUUUCUAUUUUAAAAUAUCAUUUCUAGAAAGGCGAGGAAAAUAGCUAAUUGUAUUGAUCUUGGUGCUGGAAAUAUGAGUGAGCUAUGAAUGACAGCUUGAGAAAUCCUAAUCAAUAUAAAAAGAGAGCUUUAAAGAUCAUUUAAUUGAAGUAGAGUAAGUAGAAUCUUACAUGGUUUAAAUCUUGUCAACAGAAAAGUUACUGUUUUCAGCUCAGUACACAUGAUAAGACUGAGAGUCAUAAGCACCUAAUACCAUCUCAGGAAUUUAGUAGUGGGAAAGGUUAAAGCUUACUGUCUCCACAGGGUGCUGAGCUCUUGAUUCAUGUUUCUUAUAACAUCAAGUCCGGAUUAUUGUAAUACCCUGUUUGUAGGCCUCUUUGAUACAGUGGUUUGCUGUUCACGAGCUUCAACAUGCACAGAUUAUAGCAACUCGGAUUCUCAGUGGAAUUGAAGUGUAUCAACAUCCUAACAGAUUUGAUUGCCUUUUUGUCAGAUUUAACAUUACUUUUGAAACAUGUGUUACCUAUGUGCUUUUGGAGCAUUUUUCAACUUUUUUUUUUUUUAAA
This is a long non-coding RNA of Oxyura jamaicensis (ruddy duck), 892 nucleotides long. RefSeq lists it as uncharacterized. The transcript is spliced from 3 exons. The record is from RefSeq and is a predicted model, not a curated record. Lineage: Eukaryota; Metazoa; Chordata; Aves; Anseriformes; Anatidae.